GACGAACGCUGGCGGCGUGCCUAAUACAUGCAAGUAGAACGCUGAAGGAGGAGCUUGCUUCUCUGGAUGAGUUGCGAACGGGUGAGUAACGCGUAGGUAACCUGCCUGGUAGCGGGGGAUAACUAUUGGAAACGAUAGCUAAUACCGCAUAACAGUAGAUAUCGCAUGAUAUCUACUUGAAAGGUGCAAUUGCAUCACUACCAGAUGGACCUGCGUUGUAUUAGCUAGUUGGUGAGGUAACGGCUCACCAAGGCGACGAUACAUAGCCGACCUGAGAGGGUGAUCGGCCACACUGGGACGGAGACACGGCCCAGACUCCUACGGGAGGCAGCAGUAGGGAAUCUUCGGCAAUGGACGGAAGUCUGACCGAGCAACGCCGCGUGAGUGAAGAAGGUUUUCGGAUCGUAAAGCUCUGUUGUAAGAGAAGAACGAGUGUGAGAGUGGAAAGUUCACACUGUGACGGUAUCUUACCAGAAAGGGACGGCUAACUACGUG
Molecule: ribosomal RNA, 495 nt
Filed under: uncultured bacterium
Lineage: Bacteria
Description: partial 16S ribosomal RNA
Rfam family: Bacterial small subunit ribosomal RNA
Source: RNAcentral